UACGUAGGCAGCAAGCGUUGUUCGGAGUUACUGGGCGUAAAGAGUGCGUAGGUGGUGCCCUAAGUCUGUUGUGAAAUCUCCCGGCUUAACUGGGAGGGUGCGGUGGAAACUGGGGUGCUUGAGUGUGGGAGAGGUAAGCGGAAUUCCUGGUGUAGCGGUGAAAUGCGUAGAUAUCAGGAGGAACACCGGUGGUGUAGGCGGCUUACUGGACCACGACUGACGCUGAGGCACGAAAGCGUGGGUAGCGAACAGG
Molecule: ribosomal RNA, 253 nt
Filed under: uncultured bacterium
Lineage: Bacteria
Description: partial 16S ribosomal RNA
Rfam family: Bacterial small subunit ribosomal RNA
Source: RNAcentral